UUGAUCCAACUGCCCUCAUCUUACAGCUUUGUCAUCAGGAGUUCAAGUGCAGCUGUACGUUCCUUGGAAGGUUGCUCUGUGACAGGGGACAAAUUAGUGUGCGCUACUCGUCUCCGAUGGACAUGGACUGGACUGUCUCAAGCUUCGAAGCCCACGGACCCUAUGAGCACAGAACAGGAACCACAUGACCGAGGCUCGGGUUUUCUCUUUUAA
Molecule: unclassified non-coding RNA, 213 nt
Filed under: Zea mays
Lineage: Eukaryota; Viridiplantae; Streptophyta; Magnoliopsida; Poales; Poaceae
Description: misc RNA Zm00001eb403340
Source: RNAcentral